RNAcentral lists this ribosomal RNA (164 nucleotides) under uncultured bacterium. RNAcentral describes it as "partial 16S ribosomal RNA". It matches the Rfam family "Bacterial small subunit ribosomal RNA", at positions 355 to 510 of the family's 1533-position model. The record is from RNAcentral.
UAGGGAAUCUUCGGCAAUGGACGAAAGUCUGACCGAGCAACGCCGCGUGAGUGAAGAAGGUUUUCGGAUCGUAAAACUCUGUUGGUAGAGAAGAACGUUGGUGAGAGUGGAAAGCUCAUCAAGUGACGGUAACUACCCAGAAAGGGACGGCUAACUACGUGCAG